RNAcentral lists this ribosomal RNA (253 nucleotides) under uncultured bacterium. RNAcentral's name for it is "partial 16S ribosomal RNA". It matches the Rfam family "Bacterial small subunit ribosomal RNA", at positions 524 to 776 of the family's 1533-position model. The record is from RNAcentral.
GACGAACCGUCCAAACGUUAUUCGGAAUCACUGGGCUUACAGAGUUCGUAGGCGGUCUGGAAAGUUGGGUGUGAAAUCCCUCGGCUUGACCGAGGAACUGCCUGUCAGACUGGAAGGCUUGAGACCGGGAGAGGUGAGUGGAAUUCCCAGUGUAGCGGUGAAAUGCGUAGAUAUUGGGAGGAACACCAGUGGCGAAGGCGGCUCACUGGACCGGAACUGACGCUGAGGCGCGAAAGCGUGGGGAGCAAACAGG